Monodelphis domestica (gray short-tailed opossum) is the source of this 2439-nucleotide long non-coding RNA. RefSeq lists it as uncharacterized. The record is from RefSeq and is a predicted model, not a curated record. Lineage: Eukaryota; Metazoa; Chordata; Mammalia; Didelphimorphia; Didelphidae.
GCUAAGUUUUGGAGUCUUGCAUGCUUGCAAAAGGUUUCCUACCCGAACCCUCAAGGGUAUCCUUCCAUGCCCAUACCACUUGUGCCCUUGAAAAGAAUUUAUUUCCAGAUUUCUUGAUCCACACUAUAGAAUGCAUCAUCCAACAAAUAAUCUCAAUCUUUUAAUUCAUUCUCUGGAGGCAUUCCCCAAAUGAUAGACAUCCCACCUGCCGGGAGCCACGCUGUUUGACACAGUCCACGUGGAAACCAGGAACUGCAAAGCAACCCCCAGGAAGGAUGGAAACACCCACUGAAAUCCCACUAAGUGACUUUCAUUAUUAAUAUCCCCUUAUUAUUGGAAUUGCCAUGAUUAUUAUUCUUACUUAACCCCAGUAAAAAUAAAUGAGAGCAACAUGCUUACAGGAUUAAUACAGAUGUCCCACUCUGUCCCCCAAACCUAAGGAUUCUUAUAUACCCACUUAGAUAGGACCCUCUUUUCUAGGCAUAAAAACUUCUGCCAAAUCUGUGCCCUGAAUUCCCUAACCUAUAUCUGGGUCAUGUUGAUUCUACCCACUGAUCCUGCCCUUAGCAACAAUGUUUCAUUGACUAUCUCCCUAGGCUUCCUGUCUGUUGUUAGGUUCCAUGGAAACAUGUAUGUUGGGAAUGAAACUGUGUGCCAAGUAGAUGUGUGAUCAUGAAGGUAUAAAAUAAAACCAGGCCUAAGCCAAGGAGGAGCAGUUUUAUCCUGUGAAAUCUGUGCUGUGGGUUAAAUGCAAAAGCUAUGUCCCAUCCAUCAUUUCACCAACACUGUCCCACCUCCAAGACCCCAUCUCCUGUGGGAGGAUGGCCCACCCCACAGCACUCACCAUAAAGAAAGUUGCUAUAAAUAUUUUGGGAGAUAUAGGUUCCUUUUCCUUUUUCCCUGACCUAUAAGGGUUUACAGUUUUAUGGCUCUCUGAGUAUAAUUCCAAAUUGUUCUCCAAAAUGGUUUGAAGUCCACAAUUCCAUCAAUAGUAUAUCUCCACUUUCCCCCUCCCCAACAUCUAUCCUUUUGCCCUUUUAUCAUUUUAAUCAAUCAGAUAGAUGUGAAAUGAUACCUCAGAAUCGUUUUGGUUCAUAUUUCCCUACUCAGUAAUGAUUUAGAGCAUUUUUAUAUACCUAUAUAUGGCUUUGAUUUGUUCAUUUAAAAAACUGUUCAUAUUUUUUGCUCAUUUAUCAAUUAAGGGAUGGAGCUUAUUCCAAUAAAUUUGACAAAGGUCUCAAUAUAUUUCUGAGACCUCUAUCCAAGAGGCUAUCUGUGAAAAUUUUUUUGCAACUUUCUAUUCACUCAAAAAUUCCUCUCCUAUCCUAUCUCAUAAGUAAUAUACUCCCUGUUCUGAUUUGCUUAUAUCUCCUUUUAUGAAGAGAUCUUGUAUUCAUUUUGAUCUUAGUUUAAUGAAGGUAUAAGAUAUUAUACCUAGUUUCUGCCAAACCACUUUCCAGUAGCCCAAGCAAUUUUUACCAAAUACUGAUUUCUUAUCCCAAUAGCCUGGAUCCAUACUUUUGUCAAAUACAAGGAUAUUGUAAUCUUUUACCACUGUUUGUUAUAUGUCUGCCCUAUCCUACUGAUCUAGGGUUAGGGUUUUUUCUUGGCCAAUAUCAGAUAUUUCUGAUAAUUACUGCUUUAUAAUAGUUUAAAAUCUGAUACCACUAAACUGCCUUCCUUUAUAUUUGUUCAUUAAUUCUUUUGAUAUUCUUGAUCUUUUGUCUUUCCAAAUGAAUUCUGCUAUUGCUUUUUCUAGCUCAAUAAGAUAAUUUUUUGGUAAUUUGACUAAGAUGACAUUGAAUAAGUAGAUUCAUUUAAGUAGGAUUGUCAUUUUAAUUAUAUUGGCUCUGCCCAUCAAUGAACAAUUAAUAUUUUUCCAGUUAUUUAGAUCUGACUUUAUUGGUAUAAAAAGUAUUUUCUAAUUAGGUUUGUAUAGUUCCUGAGUUUCUUUUGGCAGGUAUAUUCUCAGAUAUUUUAUUCUAUUUGUGGUUAUUUUAAAUGGACUAUCUCUUUCUAUCUCUUCUUGUAGGAUGUUAAUAAUAUAUAAAAAUGCUGAUGAUUUAUGUGGGUUUAUAUCAUAUCCUACUACUUUACUAAAAUUAUUGAUAAUUUCAACUAACUUUUUUAGUUGAAUCUUUAGGAUUUUCCACAUAUGUCAUCAUAUUAUCUGCAAAAAAUGAUAGUUGUUAUUACCUCUUUGCCCAUUCGAAUUCUCUCAAUUUCUUUUUCUUAUUGCUAUUGCUAGCAUUUUUAAUACUAUGUCAAAUAAUAUUGGUCAUAAUAGUAUCUCCAAUGUAUUCUUAUAAUAAACUAAUUGUCAACCAUUUAUUAAGAUACAAUUCUAUCCUCAUAGGUUACAUGAUAAAUUAUAUAUUCAAAAUAACUAAACAAUGUGAAAUCGCUUUAAGGAAAUUGAAAAAUGUCAUUUUUCUCAAA